This 692-nucleotide ribosomal RNA is filed under the name bacterium enrichment culture clone PA_7. Its description in RNAcentral is "bacterial SSU rRNA". It matches the Rfam family "Bacterial small subunit ribosomal RNA", at positions 806 to 1502 of the family's 1533-position model. The record is from RNAcentral.
ACGAUGUCAACUAGUUGUUGGGGAUUCAUUUCCUUAGUAACGUAGCUAACGCGUGAAGUUGACCGCCUGGGGAGUACGGUCGCAAGAUUAAAACUCAAAGGAAUUGACGGGGACCCGCACAAGCGGUGGAUGAUGUGGAUUAAUUCGAUGCAACGCGAAAAACCUUACCUACCCUUGACAUGCCACUAACGAAGCAGAGAUGCAUUAGGUGCUCGAAAGAGAAAGUGGACACAGGUGCUGCAUGGCUGUCGUCAGCUCGUGUCGUGAGAUGUUGGGUUAAGUCCCGCAACGAGCGCAACCCUUGUCUCUAGUUGCUACGAAAGGGCACUCUAGAGAGACUGCCGGUGACAAACCGGAGGAAGGUGGGGAUGACGUCAAGUCCUCAUGGCCCUUAUGGGUAGGGCUUCACACGUCAUACAAUGGUGCAUACAGAGGGUUGCCAAGCCGCGAGGUGGAGCUAAUCCCAGAAAAUGCAUCGUAGUCCGGAUCGUAGUCUGCAACUCGACUACGUGAAGCUGGAAUCGCUAGUAAUCGCGGAUCAGCAUGCCGCGAUGAAUACGUUCCCGGGUCUUGUACACACCGCCCGUCACACCAUGGGAGUGGGCUUUACCAGAAGUAGUUAGCCUAACCGCAAGGAGGGCGAUUACCACGGUAGGGUUCAUGACUGGGGUGAAGUCGUAACAAGGUAACCA